ACUAGACAGAAGCCUUCCAUGCUCACUGAACACUUUGGUCCUUGGAUCUCAGCUGCAUUAGCUCACCGGGAGGGACUGAAAACGCAGGUGCUGGGCUUGUGCUUCUGACUUGUUCCUGGGCAUUGCUGAUGCUGCCAGUCAGGAGCCACACUGUGCACCCUGCUCUGGAGCGGGGGUUUUAGCCAGUUUUGGAACCUAGACCCUUGGGGCAGUUAUGACUCCUCGCUAAAAGAAAAGGCAUGUGAAUUUUACAUAGUUUCAUUCCAUUCACAAAUUAAAGUCCACAUAAGAUUAAGAACUCUGCUCCACAGAUACUUUUCUAGUCUUGUGAAGUUUGCAUUAAUCAAACUUGGAUAACCUUAGCAAUUUCAAGACUUACUACACUUCCACCAAAACUGUUUCCACCAAAAUUGUCGUCAUCUGAUUUUGAGCAGUUCAUUGCUAUUUUGAGCUCUUUGCCUCCUUUUUCUCCCUAUAGGGUCUGCCCAGCAUGGAAUAGAGAAUCAGCCCUAAGCCAAGGACUCACACACUGACACAUAUCACAUGUUUUAAUCUAUACAGUAUAGUUAGUGCUUUACAAAACAGGACAACACUCUUCAGAUCACAUACAUCUGUUUAAAACUCAUUCUUCUCUGGUUUCCUUUUGGUAUUAUAAUGUGAUGUCAUUAAGCCUUUUGUAGUUAUGUCUCAAUUUCAUAUUUUCUGUAAUUAAACCGAAAUGUCUUCAUUAAAGUACUCGGGUUCUCAACUAGGAAUAAUUGUCCAAUUUCUAUUCUGGGAAUCAUAAAAUUUAGGCUUGGAAGACCUAAAAUAUCCUAUAGGUCAGACUGAGCCCAUGCCCUGAGUACAGGGUUCCCCAGCACAGCCUCCUGCCUGUGCUCCUUCCGCAGCUCUUCCCUCAGGGGCUUCGGCACCUGCUGGCAGCUUGAUUGUGUGGCAUCACUCUUCAAUUCCACGUCCACUUAUUUUUCCACUCUCUGUCCACCCUCUUUGCUUUGUAGUCACACAAAGCCAGCCUCAUGUCUUAUCUAUGAUGGACUUUCGAACAUUUGAUACCAGGCCCAUGCCACUUUGUUCGGGGAUUCUCCUCAGGCUCAGUUCCUUCUGUGCUUCUGUAACUUGCUCCAGGACCCCUCCCACAGGCUUACUGGCCACUUACAUUAUUCUUCUGUUUGUUGAGAAUGAGGGUCACAGCAUUGGCUACAUUUCCCACAAAAUCCUGUGGAAUCACAGCCUCUGCCUCCAUUAGAGUCGUUGGCAAAUGGAAGUAUCGUACAAGCCCGCGUCCUGGUGGGAGGUGCAGCAUCUCUGGGCGGACUGUGCUGUCGCUGUGCGUCCGCUCACUCAGGAGCACUGACGGUCAAUCAGAGCAGAGCCUCCUGCUCAAACAGAUAACUGGCUUUGCUAGUGCAGAAUUGCAGGAGCAUAUCUUAAGCUUUCUAAUUGUUUUCUCUGGGUCAAAGGCCCUAGAAAUGGUAUUUAAAACUUGGUAGCAAAGGGAGGACAGUUGUCUGAGGAAAGCUGUGAGGGGUGUCCUCCCUGGGAAUCUACAGCAGUCUUUGGGGUUAGUCAGGGAGGUUAAUGUUUCUAGAGGUCAGAAUUGCCUGGAGUAGCAUUACUUCACAGGUGUUUGUGGAGUGGGCUAGAAUCAGCUUUCUAAUACUGACACUGCCCCAGGGAUGCAUUCAUUGUCAGAACUGCUGUCCACUGUU
Long non-coding RNA from Pipistrellus kuhlii (Kuhl's pipistrelle), 1712 nucleotides. RefSeq lists it as uncharacterized. NCBI's taxonomy places the organism in Eukaryota, Metazoa, Chordata, Mammalia, Chiroptera, Vespertilionidae. The transcript is spliced from 3 exons. The record is from RefSeq and is a predicted model, not a curated record.